Oreochromis niloticus (Nile tilapia) is the source of this 769-nucleotide long non-coding RNA. RefSeq lists it as uncharacterized. The record is from RefSeq and is a predicted model, not a curated record. The transcript is spliced from 4 exons. NCBI's taxonomy places the organism in Eukaryota, Metazoa, Chordata, Actinopteri, Cichliformes, Cichlidae.
GUAUCAGUAUUCAACAGUGAAUUGUAUGAGGAUGAGUCUUCUGCAGAGCAGUCUGCUACUUUUGUCCCUCCGUGUGCUCUCAUCUUGGUGUGUUUCACCAGGCACAUUUGUUGUGACACACAGUGAUGAUGUUUUUGUCAGGGAAGGAGAGACAGUAAACAUCACCUGCUGCUGGACAGGGACGUUUCAAAGAUUUAGAGUGAACUGGCUUAAAAAUCAAACAGUAAUUAGGAGUGACUACUUUAAUCAUCCUAAUGCGUCUCUGAAAAAGGAAGAGAAGAAAUGUUCAUCUUUGAAUAUCUCAAGUGUUAGAACAGAGGAUUCAGGGACAUACAUCUGCAAGGUGACUGUGGAGAUACCAUCUUUAUGUGAGGCUAAAGGAAAUGGGACAGUUAUCACAGUCAAGAAGAUGGGAAGAAGUGGGACAUUCGUCACGGUUAAAGCCAAAAAAAAGAAAGAUAAAGGAAAUCGAAGAACUUUCACAAUUAUGCCCAAAGUGAAGAAAGGUGACAACACAGAUCAGCAUAUUGCUCGAGAAGCUCCAAAGGAAGAAGUAUUCACUUAUCUCAUGAGGACUCUGCCUGUCCUCGCCUUGAUCACAGCCUUCUUCUGGCUCUACUAUGUAGGGAGCAAAGCUCAGCAGAACUCAAAAGCUUCUUCUGGAAAUAAACCAACUUCAAGUCAAAAACAAGAGCAAGACGAGGAGGAGGAAGAAAGAGAUGGAAGAGCAGUAGAAGCAGCUAAUGAAUGUUAGAUAAAAGUGUCUGAU